UACGUAGGGGGCAAGCGUUGUCCGGAUUUAUUGGGCGUAAAGAGCUCGUAGGCGGCUUGUCGCGUCGUUCGUGAAAACUUGGGGCUCAACCCCAAGCUUGCGGUCGAUACGGGCAGGCUAGAGUUCGGUAGGGGAGACUGGGAAUUCCUGGUGUAGCGGUGAAAUGCGCAGAUAUCAGGAGGAACACCGAUGGCGAAGGCAGCUCGCUGGGACGGUACUGACGCUGAGGCGCGAAAGCGUGGGGAGCAAACAGG
Molecule: ribosomal RNA, 254 nt
Filed under: uncultured bacterium
Lineage: Bacteria
Description: partial 16S ribosomal RNA
Rfam family: Bacterial small subunit ribosomal RNA
Source: RNAcentral